UACGUAGGGGGCAAGCGUUAUCCGGAUUUACUGGGUGUAAAGGGGGCGUAGACGGCAGCGCAAGUCUGGAGUGAAAUGCCGGGGCCCAACCCCGGAACUGCUCUGGAAACUGUGCAGCUGGAGUGCAGGAGAGGUAAGCGGAAUUCCUAGUGUAGCGGUGAAAUGCGUAGAUAUUAGGAGGAACACCAGUGGCGAAGGCGGCUUACUGGACUGUAACUGACGUUGAGGCUCGAAAGCGUGGGGAGCAAACAGG
RNAcentral lists this ribosomal RNA (253 nucleotides) under uncultured bacterium. RNAcentral's name for it is "partial 16S ribosomal RNA". It matches the Rfam family "Bacterial small subunit ribosomal RNA", at positions 524 to 776 of the family's 1533-position model. The record is from RNAcentral.